GGCUUGUUGAUAAUGAUUUCAGGUCUGACCUGCCCAGUGAAAAUGAUUAAAUGGCCGCGGUAUAUUGACCGUGCAAAGGUAGCAUAGUCAUUAGUUUUUUAAUUGAAAGCUUGUAUGAAAGGUUUGAUGAGAAAAUUUCUGUCUCUGUGAAAAUUCAUUAGAAUUUUAUUUUUAAGUGAAAAAGCUUAAAUUUUUGUAGAAGACGAGAAGACCCUAUAGAGUUUUAUAUUAAGUUAGUUCUAGAUUUUUAGGUAAUGAAAGGUUUGGGGUUAGCAAGGUAUUUUAUUGGGGUGAUGGGAAAAUUUAUUGAACUUUUCUUUAUUGAAACAUUUGUUUAUGAGUCUAUGAUCCUAAAUAUUUAGAUUAUAAGAUAAAAUUACCUUAGGGAUAACAGCGUAAUCUUUCUUAGAGUUCUUAUCGAAAGAAGGGAUUGCGACCUCGAUGUUGGAUUAAAUUUUAUUGUUGGUGAAGAAGCUAAUAAAUUAGGUCUGUUCGACCUUUAAAAUUUUACAUGAUCUGAGUUUAAACCGGCGUGAG
This 537-nucleotide ribosomal RNA is filed under the name Trigonopterus lekiorum. RNAcentral's name for it is "partial large subunit ribosomal RNA". It matches the Rfam family "Bacterial large subunit ribosomal RNA", at positions 1819 to 2625 of the family's 2925-position model. Lineage: Eukaryota; Metazoa; Arthropoda; Insecta; Coleoptera; Curculionidae. The record is from RNAcentral.